GGGAAUUAGGCACUCCCGCCAGUGAGCCUUCUUCCACCUCCACGGCGAGCGGAGCGGCGGGGACCAAGACGGUGACGCAGGUGACGGCGGGUGCCUUCCUUCCUUUUUUCUUCCGUUCCACUCGCGGCGGUUUCUCUCUCUCAGCGCUCUACUUUUGGUGCCCCACAGCAUGAACGCACGCCGCCCGUUCGACGAAAUGCUCCCUCACAAGCGGCCCAGGAACGAGCAAGAGACACCUGCGGAGAGCGAGGUGGACGCAUCAGCGACCUCCCAGAGGGCGUUUUCCACCACUUGCUGUCGCUCAUGCCGGCACAUGACGCGGUGCGGACGUGCGUGCUCGGCCAGCGCUCGGGCCACCUCUGGAGGUCUGCUCCGGCCAUCAGCUUUACCACUUUCGACCGGUUUAUUAGGAGCGCGGACAGGUUCAACCAGUUCGUGGACCACCUGCUUCUGCUACGUCGCCACGGAGCGCCUCUGGAGUCAUGCAAUUUUCUUCUCGUCGAGACCGAGGUGUAUUCUGCUGUGUUCCUGGCCGCCAACGAGCGUACCGUGAACGGCUGGAUCAGUCGUGCUUUGUGCCUCCAAGUCAGGGUACUCAGGUUCUGUCUUGGAUUCGACGACCUUUUUUGGCUACCUAACACACCUCUCUUCUCCCAGCACAUCAGUGUUAGUGCUUGACGGUGUAACUACCAACGAAAGAGUUCUUGAUUUUUCGGGCUGUCCAUUGCUAGUUGAUCUUAAAAUGGAGUGUUGCUUUGCAAAUUCUGAUUAAAUUUCAUCAUCAUCUUUGAAACAUCUGCGGAUGAGUUCCUGCAUAUUUUAUGAUAAUCACCGGACCCGAUUAUCUUUACCCAAUAUUGUUUCGUUGGAACUGGACUAUAUUCCGAGUAGGACUCCAUUGCUUGAAAGCAUGCCAUCCUUGGUAACAGCAAUCGUCAGGCUUGGGUGUGAAUCUUGUGAUCGUUGUGAGGAGGGCGAACCUGGUGGUUGUGAUGAUCAUAAAUGGGCACUCUGUGAUCCUUCAAGGUUUAUUGCAAGCUACAUCCUUGGAGUUAUCAUCUGAACCUGCUGUGAUUGUUUUCAAAAGGGACAUAAAGUGGUGCCCUACAUUUAGCAAGUUAAAGACUUUGGUUCUGGAUGAAUGGUUUGCGACUGAUGACCUCAGUGCAUUAAUUUGGUUUCUCCAACACUCGCCAAUUCUAGAGAAGCUUUCUCUUCAACUUCCAGUGGUGGUACCCAAAAAAUCAGUGAGAAGAUACAGUCCAAUUGAACAAUCAGUUGCAUCUGAUUAUCUUGAAUUAGUUGAAAUCAAAUGUCAAGAGAUAGAUGAGAUGGUUGUCGCGAUCUUGGAGAUUUUAAAUGUCUUUGGCGUACCACUGGAGAGAAUUCAGAUCCAUAAGAUUUCAUGUUUUGGCUGUUUUAACUUUGUAUGUACGGGUUUCAACACCAAAUAGAGCUUCCAGUUAUGUUUGGACAUGCUCGAGGAGCCAUGGAGAUUCACCAUUUUCGAGGGAGGAGGUUUGGUUAUUCAUUGAUGUAACGUCUGCUGAUCAUCCGAGAUGUACGCAACAUGUUCCCAGUAGGGAUGUUGCUGUCCUACAUUGAUGACCUCUUACCUGUUCCGUUUGCACGAAUGAAUCUUGAAGUUCCGUUG
Long non-coding RNA from Lolium perenne, 1654 nucleotides. RefSeq lists it as uncharacterized. Lineage: Eukaryota; Viridiplantae; Streptophyta; Magnoliopsida; Poales; Poaceae. The record is from RefSeq and is a predicted model, not a curated record.